Molecule: non-coding RNA, 218 nt
Organism: Pelobates cultripes (western spadefoot toad)
Lineage: Eukaryota; Metazoa; Chordata; Amphibia; Anura; Pelobatidae
Source: the annotation of a GenBank genome assembly
CUCCCAGUGCUGCCGAAAAGCAAGGGCCCGGUCGCGCUGUUAAAGCGCCACAGCGCCCGACCGGGCCCCUGCUGACACAGGCCCACCGGGUGGCCCUAAGUGCAUGGGCCCCCAUAGUUUGCGGGCAGAGGGCAAACAGGGUAGUUACCUCGGGCCCCCCAGCAGGGACAGGGCCCGGGGCAGCUGCCCCGUUUGCCCCGCGUUAAAGACGGCCCUGC